RNAcentral lists this ribosomal RNA (497 nucleotides) under uncultured bacterium. RNAcentral's name for it is "partial 16S ribosomal RNA". It matches the Rfam family "Bacterial small subunit ribosomal RNA", at positions 28 to 507 of the family's 1533-position model. The record is from RNAcentral.
GAUGAACGCUGGCGGCGUGCCUAAUACAUGCAAGUCGAGCGAACAGAAGAGGAGCUUGCUCCUCUGACGUUAGCGGCGGACGGGUGAGUAACACGUGGAUAACCUACCUAUAAGACUGAGAUAACUUCGGGAAACCGGAGCUAAUACCGGAUAAUAUAUUGAACCGCAUGGUUCAAUAGUGAAAGACGGUUUUGCUGUCACUUAUAGAUGGAUCCGCGCCGCAUUAGCUAGUUGGUAAGGUAACGGCUUACCAAGGCAACGAUGCGUAGCCGACCUGAGAGGGUGAUCGGCCACACUGGAACUGAGACACGGUCCAGACUCCUACGGGAGGCAGCAGUAGGGAAUCUUCCGCAAUGGGCGAAAGCCUGACGGAGCAACGCCGCGUGAGUGAUGAAGGUCUUCGGAUCGUAAAACUCUGUUAUUAGGGAAGAACAAAUGUGUAAGUAACUAUGCACGUCUUGACGGUACCUAAUCAGAAAGCCACGGCUAACUACGUG